RNAcentral lists this ribosomal RNA (874 nucleotides) under Bacillus mojavensis. RNAcentral describes it as "bacterial SSU rRNA". It matches the Rfam family "Bacterial small subunit ribosomal RNA", at positions 50 to 905 of the family's 1533-position model. Lineage: Bacteria; Bacillati; Bacillota; Bacilli; Caryophanales; Bacillaceae. The record is from RNAcentral.
UAUACAUGCAAGUCGAGCGGACAGAUGGGAGCUUGCUCCCUGAUGUUAGCGGCGGACGGGUGAGUAACACGUGGGUAACCUGCCUGUAAGACUGGGAUAACUCCGGGAAACCGGGGCUAAUACCGGAUGCUUGUUUGAACCGCAUGGUUCAAACAUAAAAGGUGGCUUCGGCUACCACUUACAGAUGGACCCGCGGCGCAUUAGCUAGUUGGUGAGGUAACGGCUCACCAAGGCAACGAUGCGUAGCCGACCUGAGAGGGUGAUCGGCCACACUGGGACUGAGACACGGCCCAGACUCCUACGGGAGGCAGCAGUAGGGAAUCUUCCGCAAUGGACGAAAGUCUGACGGAGCAACGCCGCGUGAGUGAUGAAGGUUUUCGGAUCGUAAAGCUCUGUUGUUAGGGAAGAACAAGUACCGUUCGAAUAGGGCGGUACCUUGACGGUACCUAACCAGAAAGCCACGGCUAACUACGUGCCAGCAGCCGCGGUAAUACGUAGGUGGCAAGCGUUGUCCGGAAUUAUUGGGCGUAAAGGGCUCGCAGGCGGUUCCUUAAGUCUGAUGUGAAAGCCCCCGGCUCAACCGGGGAGGGUCAUUGGAAACUGGGGAACUUGAGUGCAGAAGAGGAGAGUGGAAUUCCACGUGUAGCGGUGAAAUGCGUAGAGAUGUGGAGGAACACCAGUGGCGAAGGCGACUCUCUGGUCUGUAACUGACGCUGAGGAGCGAAAGCGUGGGGAGCGAACAGGAUUAGAUACCCUGGUAGUCCACGCCGUAAACGAUGAGUGCUAAGUGUUAGGGGGUUUCCGCCCCUUAGUGCUGCAGCUAACGCAUUAAGCACUCCGCCUGGGGAGUACGGUCGCAAGACUGAAACUCAAA